RNAcentral lists this ribosomal RNA (714 nucleotides) under Meloidogyne sp. DHR-2019. Its description in RNAcentral is "partial large subunit ribosomal RNA". It matches the Rfam family "Eukaryotic large subunit ribosomal RNA", at positions 357 to 932 of the family's 3401-position model. Lineage: Eukaryota; Metazoa; Nematoda; Chromadorea; Rhabditida; Meloidogynidae. The record is from RNAcentral.
GGGAAAGUUGCAAAGCACUUUGAAGAGAGAGUUAAAGAGGACGUGAAACCGGUAAGGUGGAAACGGAUAGAGUCGGCGUAUCAUUCAAUUAUUCAGUUACAUUAUUUUUAUGUUGUGACCUCUGAGCUCCAGAUUGGGACAGAGGGAAUCAGCAUAAUUUUUUGUGGUGCAUUUACUUGAUUGGUGCUUGGGGAUGUUUGAGGCAGAUUUGUUUCCGUCGUUUUGAGGCCAGCUUGCUGGUACCCAAACGGUGUUAGCAUUUUUUGUCUUGGGCAUUUGAGUAUGGCUCACGUGUAUUUAUUGGACAGAUCUGAGUGUAAGUUACGGUCGCAUGCGACACGUGCUUUUCAAUUAGUUCGGUCCAGUUAAUGCUCUCGUACUCGUUCCCCAUGUAAAAGCCGGUCAUCUAUCCGACCCGUCUUGAAACACGGACCAAGGAGUUUAUCGUGUGCGCAAGUUUUUGGGUGUUAAAAACUUAAAAGCGAAAUGAAAGUAAAUGACUCUUUAGAGUCUGAUGUGCGAUCUUGUAAAAAAGUGUAGCAUGGCCCCAUUCUAACUGUUUACAGUAGGGUGGCGGAAGAGCGUACGCGGUGAGACCCGAAAGAUGGUGAACUAUUCCUGAGCAGGACGAAGCCAGAGGAAACUCUGGUGGAAGUCCGAAGCGGUUCUGACGUGCAAAUCGAUCGUCUGACUUGGGUAUAGGGGCGAAAGACU